AUUGAACGCUGGCGGCGUGCUUAAGACAUGCAAGUCGAACGGCAGUCUUCGGACUGUAGUGGCGCACGGGUGAGUAACGCGUAACUGACCUACCCCAAAGUCGCGGAUAACGAUUCGAAAGAAUCGCUAAUACGUGAUGUGCUGUCAGAUUGUGUUCUGCCAGUAAAGAUUGAUUGCUUUGGGAUGGGGUUGCGUUCCAUCAGCUAGUUGGUGGGGUAAAGGCCCACCAAGGCGACGACGGAUAGCCGGCCUGAGAGGGUGGCCGGCCACAGGGGCACUGAGACACGGGUCCCACUCCUACGGGAGGCAGCAGUUAGGAAUCUUCCACAAUGGGCGAAAGCCUGGUGGAGCGACGCCGCGUGAGGGAUGAAGGUCUUCGGAUCGUAAACCUCUGAAUCAGGGACGAAAGACACUUCGGUGGGAUGACGGUACCUGAGUAAUAGCACCGGCUAACUCCGUGCCAGCAGCCGCCGCCG
This 476-nucleotide ribosomal RNA is filed under the name uncultured bacterium. RNAcentral's name for it is "partial 16S ribosomal RNA". It matches the Rfam family "Bacterial small subunit ribosomal RNA", at positions 30 to 523 of the family's 1533-position model. The record is from RNAcentral.